AAGGUCAAUGUUCAAAGUUCAAUGAAGAUAUUUUCUUUUGUGAGCUUGAGCCGCUUUCACCUGGGAAACCCAAAAAGGUAGGGAUAUUUUGGAAAUCGAAGCCACUCUUUUGUUUUCGAGAAGAACGAGGAAAAAGUUUGAGACCUCGAAGGCUCGGGACUUUCGGUACUUUUGGUCAGUCGAAGUCGCGCAGCCGUAGGGGUUGAGCUUGAGCUCAACCCCUAGGAGGAUAAUCAAAUCGGAAGUAUAUUUUAUCGGAAAUAUAUUCAUCUCGGGACCGCGUGUGAUAGUCGUGUGCUUCAAGUGUAUUACCAUCAGUGUAGUUUCGUAUUCGGUACUUUAGUUUCGUGUUCGGUACUUUAGUUUCGUGUUCGGUACUUUAUUUUCGUGUUCGGUACUUUAUUAUUAAAAUUUUUCUCAGUGAAUUAUUCCGUGAAUAUAGAAGGUGCAGUGAAUAGUUGAGCAGCCUUACUUUCCGAAAGUUUUCUAUCCGCCGAAAGUUUUCGUCAGCGAGCCUCUACUUUUUCUGUCUAGUGUAAUAGUUUGCCGUGUUUUACAAUAAGAGGAAGUAGUAUUUGUCACUCGUGUCGGUUGUUAUCGUGCGCAUUUUCGGUAGUGUCUUUUCAUCGAUAUUUCUGUGAAAUUUGAUUUGAGAAUAUAGUUUCGGAAGUCAUUUUGCUCACGUAUAUUCCUCAGCAUUGAUUCGGCAACAUUCGAGAAGGGGAUGAACGAGGAUGGAAAUCUUCACCCUCCGCAUCAGAGCUGUUCCUGACCUUGCAGAUCAUCGCUUCUUCACG
Bemisia tabaci is the source of this 797-nucleotide non-coding RNA. The record is from RefSeq and is a predicted model, not a curated record. NCBI's taxonomy places the organism in Eukaryota, Metazoa, Arthropoda, Insecta, Hemiptera, Aleyrodidae.